RNAcentral lists this ribosomal RNA (120 nucleotides) under Monopterus albus (swamp eel). Lineage: Eukaryota; Metazoa; Chordata; Actinopteri; Synbranchiformes; Synbranchidae. The record is from RNAcentral.
GCUUACAGCCACAUCAGCUUGAAAAUGCCCGAUCUCGUCUGAUCUCAAGACGCUAAGCAGGGUUGGGCCUGGUUAGUACUUGGAUGGAAGACCACCUGGGAAUACCAGGUGCUGUAAGCU